This 226-nucleotide ribosomal RNA is filed under the name uncultured bacterium. Its description in RNAcentral is "partial 16S ribosomal RNA". It matches the Rfam family "Bacterial small subunit ribosomal RNA", at positions 538 to 763 of the family's 1533-position model. The record is from RNAcentral.
GCGUAAAUCGGAAUUACUGGGCGUAAAGCGUGCGCAGGCGGCUUUGUAAGACAGAUGUGAAAUCCCCGGGCUUAACCUGGGAACUGCAUUUGUGACUGCAUGGCUGGAGUGUGGCAGAGGGGGAUGGAAUUCCGCGUAUAGCAGUGAAAUGCGUAGAUAUGCGGAGGAACACCGAUGGCGAAGGCAAUCCCCUGGGCCUGCACUGACGCUCAUGCACGAAAGCGUG